Molecule: ribosomal RNA, 237 nt
Filed under: uncultured bacterium
Lineage: Bacteria
Description: partial 16S ribosomal RNA
Rfam family: Bacterial small subunit ribosomal RNA
Source: RNAcentral
CGGCGGACGGGUGAGUAACGCGUGGGUAACCUGCCUCAUACAGGGGGAUAACAGUUGGAAACGGCUGCUAAUACCGCAUAAGCGCACAGUACCGCAUGGUACGGUGUGAAAAACUCCGGUGGUAUGAGAUGGACCCGCGUCUGAUUAGGUAGUUGGUGGGGUAACGGCCUACCAGCCGACGAUCAGUAGCCGACCUGAGAGGGUGACCGGCCACAUUGGGACUGAGACACGGCCCAA